AAGCCUAAAGUUCAAUAGAGUCCUAGGAAAUCUGAAAGCCAUAUCUAGUAGAGUACUGUCACGGCUUUCUUAGACAAACAGUGGAAGUCUGAGAGGUUAGAGGAUGUAGGUCCUAUAGAGUGGAAGGAAUUUGUCAUGGCUUUCUUAGACAAAUUCUUUCCCCAAGAGCUGAAGGAGGCAAAAGUUCUAGAGUUCAUCAACAUCAAGUAGGGAAAUAUAACGGUCAAAGAGUACUUUCU
This 239-nucleotide long non-coding RNA is filed under the name Capsicum annuum. Its description in RNAcentral is "long non-coding RNA (CANN_LNC017216)". The record is from RNAcentral. Lineage: Eukaryota; Viridiplantae; Streptophyta; Magnoliopsida; Solanales; Solanaceae.